CACCAAUCAAGUCUUACUUGGUAUUGGGCAUCGCGGUCCGCCGCGUGCCUCAAAUCGACCGGCUGGGUCUUCUGUCCCCUAAGCGUUGUGGAAACUAUUCGCUAAAGGGUGUUCGGGAGGCUACGCCGUAAAACAACCCCAUUUCUAA
Molecule: unclassified non-coding RNA, 148 nt
Filed under: Cladosporium cladosporioides
Lineage: Eukaryota; Fungi; Ascomycota; Dothideomycetes; Cladosporiales; Cladosporiaceae
Description: sequence contains ITS2
Source: RNAcentral